This 460-nucleotide ribosomal RNA is filed under the name uncultured bacterium. RNAcentral's name for it is "partial 16S ribosomal RNA". It matches the Rfam family "Bacterial small subunit ribosomal RNA", at positions 338 to 795 of the family's 1533-position model. The record is from RNAcentral.
CCUACGGGAGACAGCAGUGAGGAAUAUUGGUCAAUGGACGAGAGUCUGAACCAGCCACGUAGCGUGAAGGAUGACUGCCCUCUGGGUUGUAAACUUCUUUUAUAUGGGAAUAAAAUGUUCCACGUGUGGGAUUUUGUCUGUACCAUAUCAAUAAGGAUCGGCUAACUCCGUGCCAGCAGCCGCGGUAAUACGGAGGAACCUAGCGUUAUCCGGAUUUAUUGGGUUUAAAGGGAGCGUAGGUGGAUUGUUAAGUCAGUUGUGAAAGUUUGCGGCUCAACCGUAAAAUUGCAGUUGAAACUGGGAGUCUUGAGUACAGUAGAGGUGGGCGGAAUUCGUGGUGUAGCGGUGAAAUGCUUAGAUAUCACGAAGAACUCCGAUUGCGAAGGCAGCUCACUGGACUGCAACUGACACUGAGGCUCGAAAGUGUGGGUAUCAAACAGGAUUAGAUACCCCGGUAGUC